This is a non-coding RNA of Myotis lucifugus (little brown bat), 75 nucleotides long. NCBI's taxonomy places the organism in Eukaryota, Metazoa, Chordata, Mammalia, Chiroptera, Vespertilionidae. The record is from Rfam.
UGCAGUUCUCGGGUGACGCACCCAGAACCAGAGAGGAGGGACUCUGAUUCUGGGGUGCAUCACCUGAGAACCGCC